CCUACGGGAGGCAGCAGUGGGGAAUAUUGGUCAAUGGGCGCAAGCCUGACCCAGCAACGCCGCGUGCAGGAAGAAGGCUUUCGGGUUGUAAACUUCUUUUAAGAGGGAAGAGCAGAAGACGGUACCUCUUGAAUAAGCCACGGCUAACUACGUGCCAGCAGCCGCGGUAAUACGUAGGUGGCAAGCGUUGUCCGGAUUUACUGGGUGUAAAGGGCGUGUAGCCGGGCUGACAAGUCAGAUGUGAAAUUCCGGGGCUCAACCCCGGCCCUGCAGUUGAAACUGUUGGUCUUGAGUAUGGGGGAGGCAGGCGGAAUUCCUAGUGUAGCGGUGAAAUGCGUAGAUAUUAGGAGGAACACCAGUGGCGAAGGCGGCAUGCUGGACGACAACUGACGCUGAGGCGCGAAAGCGUGGGUAGCAAACAGGAUUAGAUACCCCUGUAGUC
RNAcentral lists this ribosomal RNA (442 nucleotides) under uncultured bacterium. Its description in RNAcentral is "partial 16S ribosomal RNA". It matches the Rfam family "Bacterial small subunit ribosomal RNA", at positions 338 to 795 of the family's 1533-position model. The record is from RNAcentral.